CCCUUAGAGUUUGAUCCUGGCUCAGGACGAACGCUGGCGGCGUGCUUAACACAUGCAAGUCGAACGAUGAUGCCCAGCUUGCUGGGCGGAUUAGUGGCGAACGGGUGAGUAAUACGUGAGUAACCUGCCCUUGACUCUGGGAUAAGCCUGGGAAACUGGGUCUAAUACUGGAUACUACUUCCUGCCGCAUGGUGGGUGGUGGAAAGGGUUUUACUGGUUUUGGAUGGGCUCACGGCCUAUCAGCUUGUUGGUGGGGUAAUGGCUCACCAAGGCGACGACGGGUAGCCGGCCUGAGAGGGUGACCGGCCACACUGGGACUGAGACACGGCCCAGACUCCUACGGGAGGCAGCAGUGGGGAAUAUUGCACAAUGGGCGGAAGCCUGAUGCAGCGACGCCGCGUGAGGGAUGACGGCCUUCGGGUUGUAAACCUCUUUCAGUAGGGAAGAAGCGAGAGUGACGGUACCUGCAGAAGAAGCGCCGGCUAACUACGUGCCAGCAGCCGCGGUAAUACGUAGGGCGCAAGCGUUGUCCGGAAUUAUUGGGCGUAAAGAGCUCGUAGGCGGUUUGUCGCGUCUGCUGUGAAAGCCCGGGGCUCAACCCCGGGUCUGCAGUGGGUACGGGCAGACUAGAGUGCAGUAGGGGAGACUGGAAUUCCUGGUGUAGCGGUGAAAUGCGCAGAUAUCAGAGAAC
This 691-nucleotide ribosomal RNA is filed under the name uncultured bacterium. RNAcentral's name for it is "bacterial SSU rRNA". It matches the Rfam family "Bacterial small subunit ribosomal RNA", at positions 1 to 707 of the family's 1533-position model. The record is from RNAcentral.